GCUGGGCACAGUGAUGAGUGUCUAUAGUCUCAGCUACUUAGGAGCCUGAGGCAAGAGGAUCUCUUGAGUCCAGGAAUCCAAGGUCAACUAGGGCAACAUAGCAAGACAUGUCUUUA
Molecule: small RNA, 116 nt
Filed under: Marmota monax (woodchuck)
Lineage: Eukaryota; Metazoa; Chordata; Mammalia; Rodentia; Sciuridae
Source: RNAcentral